RNAcentral lists this ribosomal RNA (787 nucleotides) under uncultured bacterium. RNAcentral describes it as "bacterial SSU rRNA". It matches the Rfam family "Bacterial small subunit ribosomal RNA", at positions 75 to 848 of the family's 1533-position model. The record is from RNAcentral.
AUGAUUUACAUUUGAGUGAGUGGCGAACUGGUGAGUAACACGUGGGAAACCUGCCCAGAAGCGGGGGAUAACACCUGGAAACAGAUGCUAAUACCGCAUAACAACUUGGACCGCAUGGUCCGAGCUUGAAAGAUGGCUUCGGCUAUCACUUUUGGAUGGUCCCGCGGCGUAUUAGCUAGAUGGUGGGGUAACGGCUCACCAUGGCAAUGAUACGUAGCCGACCUGAGAGGGUAAUCGGCCACAUUGGGACUGAGACACGGCCCAAACUCCUACGGGAGGCAGCAGUAGGGAAUCUUCCACAAUGGACGAAAGUCUGAUGGAGCAACGCCGCGUGAGUGAAGAAGGGUUUCGGCUUGUAAAACUCUGUUGUUAAAGAAGAACAUAUCUGAGAGUAACUGUUCAGGUAUUGACGGUAUUUAACCAGAAAGCCACGGCUAACUACGUGCCAGCAGCCGCGGUAAUACGUAGGUGGCAAGCGUUGUCCGGAUUUAUUGGGCGUAAAGCGAGCGCAGGCGGUUUUUUAAGUCUGAUGUGAAAGCCUUCGGCUCAACCGAAGAAGUGCAUCGGAAACUGGGAAACUUGAGUGCGGAAGAGGACAGUGGAACUCCAUGUGUAGCGGUGAAAUGCGUAGAUAUAUGGAAGAACACCAGUGGCGAAGGCGGCUGUCUGGUCUGUAACUGACGCUGAGGCUCGAAAGUAUGGGUAGCAAACAGGAUUAGAUACCCUGGUAGUCCAUACCGUAAACGAUGAAUGCUAAGUGUUGGAGGGUUUCCGCCCUUCAGUGCUG